RNAcentral lists this long non-coding RNA (1573 nucleotides) under Sus scrofa (pig). RNAcentral describes it as "lncRNA (ENSSSCG00070008366.1)". The record is from RNAcentral. Lineage: Eukaryota; Metazoa; Chordata; Mammalia; Artiodactyla; Suidae.
CGCCUGAGUUGCUGGAAGAAGACGGAGAAGGAAGCUCAGGACCCUAGUUCCCCCUCCCCAAGCUCUGCCACCGCCUCGGGCAGCGCCUGGCGGGCAGCGCAAGGGGGCAUGGCCUUUCUUGGGGCACCUGGGUCUGGGACACUGCGGGACUCCAGGCGGCGGAUCGGAAAGGGACUUCCACACCCGGCUGGGUCCUGAUUGCGCUUCAGCCUUGGGGGAUGGGAGGGUAAAGGAUGGGGGUUCCUAAAUGUUUCUUUGAAAGGAAGUUCGAGGCAGUGGAGGGAGAGGUUGUGGGAUGCAGCUUGGGGCUGAGGUCACCUGCGUGGGAAUUUUGUGUGUGUGUAGGUGGGGUGGAAUGGAGUGGGGCGAGUUACGAGCAGCUUGGGGUGGGGGAGAGUUGUUGACGAAUCCGAGUCGCUGAGCUUGUUGGCCUGAUUUCUCAUUUGGAAAGAAAUCUUGUAAUAAAACUGCAGCCGUCGGGCUUCGUGCUUCCGGCGGUUUCUACCCGCCAUCGCUGUAGGCUGCCACAUCACCUUGGGGAAGCAGGAAGCUCCUGUCAAGGACUUGAAGAGGCCCCGUCACAGACCUUUCCAUCAGGGCCAGGUGCUCUUUCAGUUUCUUUCCACUUUUUUUUUUUUCUUUUCUUACCAUGCCCAAAGGCAAGGGAUUUAAAGACUUUGAUUCAAGCUCUGGCUGUGCCACUAGUAAGACGUGGGGAUCAGGUAUUUGAGGGCCCUGAAGAGGGGUGAGGAAAUGGGCUGCUGCCUUUCCUCUCUGGCUCUGUAUUGACCCAGCCUCCAAGGUGACCAGCCAUGUGACCUUGGACAAGUCUUUGUAUCUAUUCCUGGGUUUCCUUGCCUGCAAAGGGAGGGGCCAGACUAGAUGGUUUCUAAGAUCAUAUAAGCAGUACUUUUCUCUCUCUCCCACGACACCAGCCUUGAGGGACAACGAGCCUCUCCAAUUAGGCCAGCGGAGCUGUCCGUGGUGCUGAACAUCUACGUUGCGUUUCUGGACCACUCGCUGAUCUCAACAGAUCCUAGCUGUGCCCAGCACUCCUAGAAACUAGUGGGCUCAGGCCGCCUCCAUCAGGCGUCUCGGGCCUGCCUGCAGCUGGAGAGGAGACUCUGGAGGGUCUUGGAGUUCAGGGAACACUGGAGGAGGAAUCUGGAGAUGUGGUCCUAGCCUGACUCGGACAUUUGCUGUCAGCGGGUUUUUGAUGAAGCCACACCUUCCCUUGUUUUCUCAUCUGUGAGACUGAGAUGGGGACUAGGACUAACACCAGCUGGGCCCAGAAGUCCUGGGAGCGUGCCUGGGCUACGGGGGAGAGGGGAGCCCUUGAAGAUUCAGCCAUUCCCUCCCUGUCCCAAGGCUCAGGCUUCUCUAACGGUGAUUGAGGAUGAGGAACAAAACUCACUCCCUUGUUAGGAACAUGUGUUCUUUUGUCUGGAAGAAAAGACAGGCAGUGAGCAGAUGUAGCAUUUACAUUUUUUUCAAAUGACAACUGAACACUGAGGAUGAUUAGUGCUUGUUAUGAAAUGUGUCAAAACUAUAAUAAAAUCUCCAACUUAUAUCA